GCAGCGGUAAUACGGGGGAUGCAAGCGUUAUCCGGAAUCAUUGGGCGUAAAGCGCCUGUAGGUUGUUUAUUAAGUCUGUUGUUAAAGACUAGGGCUUAACCCUAGGAAAGCAAGAGAAACUAAUAGACUUGAGUAUGGCAGGGGUAGAGGGAAUUUCUAGUGUAGCGGUGAAAUGCGUAGAUAUUAGAAAGAACACCGGCGGCGAAAGCGCUCUACUGGACCAUUACUGACACUCAGAGGCGAAAGCUAGGGUAGCAAAAGGGAUUAGAUACCCCUGUAGUCCUGGCCGUAAACGAUGAACACUAGGUGUCGGGGGAAUCGACCCCUUCGGUGUCGUAGCUAACGCGUUAAGUGUUCCGCCUGGGGAGUACGCACGCAAGUGUGAAACUCAAAGGAAUUGACGGGGGCCCGCACAAGCGGUGGAGUAUGUGGUUUAAUUCGAUGCAACGCGAAGAACCUUACCAGGGUUUGACAUCCUGAGAACCUCUUAGAAAUUUGAGGGUGCCUUCGGGAAUUCAGUGACAGGUAGUGCAUGGCU
This 538-nucleotide ribosomal RNA is filed under the name uncultured cyanobacterium. RNAcentral describes it as "bacterial SSU rRNA". It matches the Rfam family "Bacterial small subunit ribosomal RNA", at positions 514 to 1050 of the family's 1533-position model. Lineage: Bacteria; Bacillati; Cyanobacteriota. The record is from RNAcentral.